Long non-coding RNA from Pristis pectinata (smalltooth sawfish), 479 nucleotides. RefSeq lists it as uncharacterized. The transcript has 3 exons. The record is from RefSeq and is a predicted model, not a curated record. Lineage: Eukaryota; Metazoa; Chordata; Chondrichthyes; Rhinopristiformes; Pristidae.
GGUGGUUCCUAUCGGUACCAGUGGGACAAAGUAUGCGAAGCCUAAAGCUAAGGGAUCAGUUUAUUAUUACUAAGGAAUUUUAUAAUAGAUUAUUUAGUCAUCUUCUUAGGCAAUCACUCAAGAUCGAAGACUUCCCCUCCGGUUCUCUGGGUUCUCAGGUGGCUGAUGAGGAAGGUCCCUGGAGGCUGCAUGGACAAUACUCUCGCUGCUGAAUGAUGAGGGCAGAUUUCAUCUUUACAAAGUGAGUGUAAUCCUGGAGCUCAUCUUCUGACAAAUGCUUGACCAGAAUAUCAUGGACAACACGUUCCCUGCGAUCCACAUGUUCCUUCAACUCUUUGGCCUCUUCAAGCUGUGCUGGCACAGUUUGCACUGAUGUCUUCCAAAAGGCUCUUCUGGGCUUCAUGCAACACACUGAGUUUUCUACUGAGACUGCAGAUCAAUUGUUGCUGUGGAAAUCAAGAAGAAAAAGUAUGGAGUAG